This 492-nucleotide ribosomal RNA is filed under the name uncultured bacterium. Its description in RNAcentral is "partial 16S ribosomal RNA". It matches the Rfam family "Bacterial small subunit ribosomal RNA", at positions 29 to 507 of the family's 1533-position model. The record is from RNAcentral.
AUUGAACGCUGGCGGCAUGCUUUACACAUGCAAGUCGAACGGUAACAGGCCUUCGGGUGCUGACGAGUGGCGAACGGGUGAGUAAUGCAUCGGAACGUACCCAGAGGUGGGGGAUAACGCAGCGAAAGCUGUGCUAAUACCGCAUGUGAUCUGAGGAUGAAAGCGGGGGACCGAGCAGCAAUGUUUGGCCUCGCGCCUUUGGAGCGGCCGAUGUCGGAUUAGCUAGUUGGUGGGGUAAAGGCCUACCAAGGCGACGAUCCGUAGCUGGUCUGAGAGGACGAGCAGCCACACUGGGACUGAGACACGGCCCAGACUCCUAAGGGAGGCAGCAGUGGGGAAUUUUGGACAAUGGGGGCAAGCCUGAUCCAGCAAUGCCGCGUGCGUGAAGAAGGCCUUCGGGUUGUAAACCGCUUUUGGCAGGAACGAAACGGUGUCCGCUAAUACCGGGCGCUAAUGACGGUACCUGCAGAAUAAGCACCGGCUAACUACGUG